GAUGAACGCUGGCGGCGUGCCUAAUACAUGCAAGUCGAGCGAACGUACGAGAAGCUUGCUUCUCUGAUGUUAGCGGCGGACGGGUGAGUAACACGUGGAUAACCUACCUAUAAGACUGGGAUAACUUCGGGAAACCGGAGCUAAUACCGGAUAAUAUUUUGAACCGCAUGGUUCAAAGGUGAAAGACGGUCUUGCUGUCACUUAUAGAUGGAUCCGCGCUGCAUUAGCUAGUUGGUAAGGUAACGGCUUACCAAGGCAACGAUGCAUAGCCGACCUGAGAGGGUGAUCGGCCACACUGGAACUGAGACACGGUCCAGACUCCUACGGGAGGCAGCAGUAGGGAAUCUUCCGCAAUGGGCGAAAGCCUGACGGAGCAACGCCGCGUGAGUGAUGAAUGUCUUCGGAUCGUAAAACUCUGUUAUUAGGGAAGAACAUAUGUGUAAGUAACUGUGCACAUCUUGACGGUACCUAAUCAGAAAGCCACGGCUAACUACGUG
This 497-nucleotide ribosomal RNA is filed under the name uncultured bacterium. RNAcentral's name for it is "partial 16S ribosomal RNA". It matches the Rfam family "Bacterial small subunit ribosomal RNA", at positions 28 to 507 of the family's 1533-position model. The record is from RNAcentral.